This 12489-nucleotide long non-coding RNA is filed under the name Linum usitatissimum (flax). Its description in RNAcentral is "long non-coding RNA (LUSI_LNC006325)". Lineage: Eukaryota; Viridiplantae; Streptophyta; Magnoliopsida; Malpighiales; Linaceae. The record is from RNAcentral.
GUUGAUGGUGGUGUGUGGCAGGGAUGGACGAUGAAGACAGCGAUGCGCCACUUGAGGAAAUGCUGGAUGAUAAGAUGAGAGUACGCUACUUCAAAGGGUACCUUAAAGCGGUAGCAGAGGCAAUCAGGUGAGUAAGAUAUAGGGAGUGGUUGCUUGGUUCCAGAAUAUUAGGGAUUUGUAGAUGAAUUAACAUGGAGGCUGUUGUUGGGUGAGACAGAGAUGGAGUGGAUGUGAAGGGUUACUUUGCAUGGUCGUUGCUGGACAACUUCGAGUGGGCGCAAGGUUACACCAAGCGAUUUGGGAUAGUGUACGUGGACUACAAGGACGGGAAGCUGACUCGCCACCCAAAGUCGUCUGCAUAUUGGUUCUUGAGGUUCCUUAAGGGUGGUGAGGAAGGGAAAGACACAAAACAAGAAUGACUGAAUAUGGGUGGGUGUUGUGUUUAUGUAUGUCUCGCCUACUGUGACCUUUAAGCAUCUCUAUUGUACGUUGUAAUUGUGUGAGCGGAUUGGGUUUCUCCCGACUUUGUGGUAUGGUUCAUGAGGAGAGAACAGAAUAGAAUAGAGAGCUAGUUGCCCAUGGUAGUAGCUCAUCACUCUAUUUCUUUUACUACACCGGUUGUUGGAGAUGACUUUUGGGAUUGGUUGUACCUUCUGAUUGAUGUUUCAUUGAUCAUGAGAAGUUUAGACCACAACGAGUUAGACCAUGUCUACGCAGCGUGCCAUCAUGGCUUAAUCAUUGGGCCCAUCACUACCAUUGAAGAUACCAAGAGUUCAUGACCAUACCAAGAGUUCAUGGUAUUACUGCAGGUGUGCCAUUCCCCAAGAACUGUAUGCUCAGAAGCUAGACAGCAUCAUUCAAUUAUAUUACAUUUCAUAGCUACAAUCAAGUUGUACUGUAAGGGACUGAAGUUAAUGUCUUUGGAACCAAAUAGACAUUGAGUUGAAUCUAGCUAUAUAUUAUACCCCAAGAAUAAUAUAUAGUGUGGAGUUGGGUUUUGGAAUUGAUAGAUAGUGAAGAUAGUUUCACUAUUUCAAGGUAUGGACUUAGAUAUCACUCAUUUCUUCUUCCAAGGUAAAAUACAUACCAUUUACACCUCUUUCGUCCAAAUAGCUAACCAGCAUUUUACAACCCUGCCCACUACCAUUUUACAACCUUAACGAAGCACACAACAUAGACAUUAAUAUUCAGUUGUCUCAAGACAUUAUAUGUUUGGCAAAAUCAAUUUCUACUGUGCUCAAGAUUUUGAAGCAGAAUUUAAGAACUGAGAUAUGUGACCGAGAUACCGGAUUAUAGAUAACAACCGAUGAAAAUCAUCACAAUCUCCAAACACAAAAGGAAACCUGAGUAUUCAUCAAAGUAGGAUAGAAUCAAGCCUUCAGCACAUUAUUUUUCGAACAAGCUUGCGACGUAAUUCUAUACAUACCAUCAACCAUCCCAUACAACUUUCCAGCGAUAUUUAUCUUCAAGGUAGGCAAGCAGAGUUUGAGGUUUGCGCUUUCCAUCGAUAUUUCAUUCCAACACUCGAUCAACUUCUUUGAACGCUGUCCAUUGACUGAUGUAUACCCUUAGUAAAGGCAGCAAAUUUUCCCGUGGCACCAGAAGUGGUCAACAAAACUCCCAUCGAGCAUGUUGAUACUCGACGGUCCCAUCGAGCAUGUUGAUACUCGACGGUCACAACAAUUUCCCGUACUGGCUUUUUUCAUUUCCAUCAUUAAAAGCCACAACUUACAGUUUCAGGAGGCAUUCCCUAGCCCCUCCUCGAACUCCAACUUUCAUAUGUUCAUUGGAGCAAGCGGGCAACUUUAGUAGCAAGGAGCACAUAAAUUAAUUACUUCUGCUAGAAUAUCCACAUUUCCAUCAUUGAAAUUUAACAAUUACAGUACCACAAAGCAUCACUAGUUCCCUUCUAGGGCUCCAACUUUGAAAUAUUCUUUGGACCAGAAGGGCAACUGCUAGUAACAUAACAAAUUUUCCAAUAGUGAAUUUCAUUUCCAUCAUUAGAACCCCACCUUUAUUACUUCAGGAGGCAUUCACUAGUUCCCUCCUCAGACUCGAACUUUCAUAUGUUCAAUGGAGCAGAAGGACAACCCUAGGAGCAAACAAAUUAAAUACUUACGGUACCAGAAGGCAUCACUAGUUCCCUUCUAGGACUCAACUUUAAUACAUUCGUUGGAGCAGAAGGGCAACCACAGGAACAUAACAAAUCUGCCAACAGUAAAUUUCAUUUCCAUCAUUAAAACCCAACGUUUGUAGAUUCAAGAGGCAUUCAAUAGUUCCCUGCUCGGACUCCAUCAUUGAAAUCAGACACUUAUAGUACCAAAGGGCAUUCAAUAGUUCCCUGCUCGGACUCCAUCAUUGAAAUCAGACACUUAUAGUACCAAAGGGCAUUCAAUAGUUCCCUGCUCGGACUCCAUCAUUGAAAUCAGACACUUAUAGUACCAAAGGGCAUUCAAUAGUUCCCUGCUCGGACUCCAUCAUUGAAAUCAGACACUUAUAGUACCAAAGGGCAUUCAAUAGUUCCCUGCUCGGACUCCAUCAUUGAAAUCAGACACUUAUAGUACCAAAGGGCAUUCAAUAGUUCCCUGCUCGGACUCCAUCAUUGAAAUCAGACACUUAUAGUACCAAAGGGCAUUCAAUAGUUCCCUGCUCGGACUCCAUCAUUGAAAUCAGACACUUAUAGUACCAAAGGGCAUUCAAUAGUUCCCUGCUCGGACUCCAUCAUUGAAAUCAGACACUUAAACACUGACUUUCAUGUUCAUGAUUAAAUCCAACACUUCAGAGUUUAGAAGGCAUUCACUCUCGUCUGACUCUAACUUUCAUAAGUUCAUUGGAGAGAAUGGGCAACAACAAAGGGCAUCACAUUUUUAUUUGAUUAGAAGGCCAAAUUCCCUCACAUAUGCCUUCAGCUACUGACCUGUACUCAGCUUCAGAGCUACUCCUUGAGACCACUCCUUGUUUCUUGCUUCUCCAAGUCACUAGAUUGCCCCAUACAUAGGUGCAAAAUGCUGAUGUUGAUCUUCGUUCUGUUAAAUCUCCAGCCCAACUAGAAUCUGUAUACACAGUGAUUCCUUGUUGUGUUUUUUUCUGGAGAUAAAGGCCCAACCCGGGUGUACCUUUUAAGUACCUAAUAAUUCUCAUUAUUGCCGAGAGAUUUUCCUCGUUAGGCUGAUGCAUAUGCUGGCUCACAAUACUCACUGGGAAUGAGAUGUCUGGACGAGUAUGUGCCAAGUAUAUUAACUUACCAACCAGACGUUUGUAGCUCCUCCUUUCCACCGGAGCUAGAUCGGGGUUAUGAGUGAAUUUCAGAUUUGCUUCCAUUGGAGUACUUGCUGGUUUGCAGCCAGUCAUUCCAGUUUCCUUCAACAAAUCUAGGACGUAUUUGCGUUGUGAUAGAACCAGACCUUUACUCGAUCUAGCCACUUCGAUACCUAGGAAAUAUCUUAAGUUUCCACUCUGAUACCUAGGAAAUAUCUUAAGUUUCCAAGGUCGUUUAUCUCGAAUUCAUAUGUAAGUUUCAACUUCAGCCUCUGAAUCUCUAGUUCAUCAUUUCCAGUGAUGAAAAUGUCGUCCACGUAAACAAUCAGAAUGGAAAUUUUUCCAGUUUGUCCAUGUCGAACAAACAUGAUAUGGUCAGUCUGGCACUGAUGGAAGUCACAUCCCUUUACUACUUGAGAGAAUCGUUCAAACCAUGCCCUUGGAGAUUGUUUUAGUCCAUACAAGGCUUUUUUGUGCUUACAUAUUUUCCCUGGGUCAACUUGAACUCCUACUGGAACUUUCAUGAAAACUUCCUCACUUAGAUCACCAUUUAGGAACGCGUUUUUCACGUCUAAUUGGUAGAGAGGCCAAUCUAGGUUUACUGCCAAGCUGAGAAGGACCCGUACUGUCUUUAGUUUUGCUACUGGGGCAAAAGUCUCCUCAUAGUCGACUCCAUAUAAUUGAGUGAACCCAUGAGCGACCAGCCUUGCUUUAUAUCGCUCUAUACUUCCAUCUGAAGCAUACUUGACAGUGAAAAUCCACUUGCAGUCAACGAUGGAUUUAUCUGGUGGAAGUUGUACCAUCUCCCAUGUGCCAUUUUUCUCUAGUGCUCUAAUUUCCUGCAUCACGGCAUGUCUCCAGUGUGGUAUCUGCAUUGCUUCUUCGACAGAUUUUGGUAUCUCAGUGGAAUCUACACUGCUUACGAAGGAUUGAUACUUGGCACUGAGGUUUCCAUACGACACUCAUCUUUCAAUUUGAUGUUGAAUGCACGUACGAGUUCCUUUUUCUUUGAGCAAUAAGCAGAUCCAUUGAACUAUUAGGGUCUUUAUUGCCUGCUUCACUGCUUGUUGAAGUGUCAGUGUCAAUGUGAGCUUCCUAGGAAAUAGGUUGCUCGUCAGAUGAUGGCAGUUUGAAAGUUGUGUGUCGGGUGUCUUCUUCCUCCUAUCAUACAACAGGAGAGGUUUAUUUGUAUUUUCAUCAGUGCAUUGAGUACCUGUGGCAGUUGCUAUAGGGCUAGAAACUACAAAGGGAACUGGCACGGGCUCUUAUGAUAUGAUUUUCCCAAGAGAAGGCUGCUCAAAAUUCUCCCCCUGAGGCUGAGUUUGGGAAUAGUAGGGUUGAGAUUCAAAAAACUUGACAUCUUUGGAGUGAUAUAUUUUUUGGUGGAGGGGCGAGUAGCACUUGUAACCACUUUGAUUUGAAGAGUACUCGACGAAGACACAAGGAAUCGCUCUAGGAUCUAAUUUAGAGCGAAGAGAAGGGGCUACAUGGACAUAAACUGUGCAGCCAAAGAUUUUUGGUGGAAUGUCGGAGGAGAUGACAUGGCCUUGAAGGAAAGCAGCUAAAAGGACAUUUCGAGAUGUGUCGAGUUUGAGAGGCCUACAAGGUAGUCGGUUGAUGAGGUAUGUAGCUGUUAGCACUACUUCUCCCCAUAAAUGUUUGGGAGCGGUGGAAGCAAAUAACAAUGCCCUAGCUACUUCAAGGAGGUGCCGAUUUUUCCGUUCGGCCACUCCAUUUUGUUGUGGGGUGUAGGGACAGGAACUAGUGUGAUUGAUACCAUGAGUUGAGAGAUAAGUAUCAAGGGAGCUAUUUAGACCCAACAGGAAGCGAAUAGUUCUCUUGUAUUCAAGGAUCUUCUGAUAAAGGCACCAUCAACUGUGCAGACCCAGAGAUGCUCAUCUUAUAGAUCUUGUUGCAUCCAGAUUUUGCUCAACUCAUUAUAGUAUUGAGUGACCAACAUUUCUCCUUGUUUUAGGUCAUGGAGACGCAUCUCGGUGUCGUACAAUUGAGCUGUAUUUGACUGAUUUGAAUAGGUGUGAUGAGCACUAUCCCAAAUUUCGUAGGCUGGUUUGUGAAGGAGGAAUUUUUCACCAAUCGAGGGUGUCAUAGAGUUGAGAAGUCAUGAUUGCACCAUGUUGUCCUCAAUUUCUCAGUUGGUAAAUUGAGGAUCGGUUUCAGCGGAAGGAUUGCUUUUGUCAGAGAAGUAGCCCUUCUUUCCUUUGAUAGAAAUGAAUUUGAGGACAGAGGAGGACCACUGGAGGUAAUUAUCACCAUUGAGGCGGUGAUUGGUGAUACUUCCGAUUACUGUGUCUGUUGGAGGCAGAGGAGGAGGGCUGGAGUUAUUGUUUUGGUGUUAAUGAGUUUCUGGAACACCAGAGGAGUUUGAUGAUGGUAUCUCGGAGUUGAUGGAAUGACUUGAAAGAUCGUCGUUCACCAUUGAUGAGAUUGAGAGAAAACUGGAAAAAUUUUCUUGAGGUUUUUGUUUUGGUGGUGAUGAGUUUUUGAAACACCGGAGGAGUUUGAUGAUGGAAUCUCGGAAUUGAUGGAAUGACUGGAAAGAUCAUCAUUCAUCAUUGAUGAGAUUGAAAGAAAACUGGAAAAAGUUUUCUUGAGGUUUUUGUUUUGGUGUUGAUGAGUUUUUGAAACACAAGAGGAGUUCGAUGAUGGAAUCUCGGAAUUGAUGGAAUGACUGGAAAGAUCAUCAUUCAUCAUUGAUGAGAUUGAAAGAAAACUGGAAAAAGUUUUCUUGAGGUUUUUGUUUUGGUGUUGAUGAGUUUUUGAAACACAAGAGGAGUUCGAUGAUGGAAUCUCGGAGUUGAUGGAAUGACUCCUCAGCUUGCAGUUCCUCAGUUGGAACAUGAACCCCAAUUGGUUGCUCAACAUCAACUGCUAAACAGUCCACAGGUUCAGUGCUCUUCUCUAAAUCACCAUAUUGGUUGAUAAGUGUAGCAGCACGUUCUACACGCAUGCUAAUUUUUGAAGAUGGAUCAUGUUUAAUGAUCCGAAUACCCCUCAAAUCAAAGUUUCCAUUGUGCAAAGACGCCAAGCCAUUUACCAUACCUGGAAAAGAAGUUUAUAGACAAACAUAUUAUAUAUAUGGCAAACACUUCGAUACCCGCACGUAUUGGUACCCUCCACACUAAAAAUCUAACAUUUCUAAAAUUUAAAAUUCAAAAAAUAAAUCUUAAAUCCCUUACAAUAAAUCCUAAUCCACAAACACUACAUCAUAAACUCAACUCUAAAUAGCAUCACAAAAUCAAAUUUUGACCAUAAAUCAAAAUUAAGAGACCCUAACCCUAAAAAAUUAAAAUACUAUACCCCUAACACUGUAUUUUAAACCCUAAACACACUAGGCACAAAAUAUGGCAUAAAAGAGGCCGGUUCAUGUUUCACGAAAGAAUAACACGAAAAGCAUGGCAAAAAUUAAAUUGUGGACUCCAGUGAAAACUUACCAGUUAAUAUAGGUUCAUUAAAAACUUGAACUUCCAAAGCCUGUCUUUGUAUCAUCGAUAUCUCAAUGCGUGUGCAAGGAGCCUUCUUUCGUACACGACGUAUGUCCCCGGUAUUAGUCAAUUGCUGACGUAUAGUACUAGAAAGGAAAAACAAAUACAGUUAAUAGUAAGUCUAAUCCCAGAGAACAACAACGUCGAUAAACCAGACAUAAAUGCCUGGAACUUGUACUGUCAAGAUCACUUAGAUAGUAUAGUGGGAAAUGCAGUGAAACAUGAGAUUACGACAUUACGUACUCUCCAUGCAGAACCAUUGUCUCAUCCAUAAGCACUUUCCUCUUUGAGGCACUAAGACGGGAACUGGGACGAGACCGUUUUGCAGAUUUCACCUCUGGAGCAGGCGGACUAGGCUUCAGCCUCAAACUUGAAGAUUUUCUUCCAACUGUCAUAAAAAAGGAAAGCGCUCAACCGUCUAGACUUCCAGCCUUAAUCUCAUAUGAUAACUAAAUUCUGUAUAUUUUAGGGAAAAAGGUAUCUAAAAGGCAAUACAAGUUAUCAAAGUAAACCAAGUAUAGAGAAAGAAACAAAAUCACAUACCUAAAAUAGAACUCAGCAAAUCAUCAUCAGGAAUAGUCUCUUGGGUCCUUUUGGAUCUAGAUAGUCCAAGGGACUCCGAAGGAUUUAUAUCUCCUAUGUUUAAGGUACUUUCUGUAAAGCUUCUCUUUCUCCCAGCAACUCUGCUACCAACACUAGUCCCAUUAGCGCUUUCUAAGAAUUCACUGGCUGGUGUUAAUGCACCAAAGAACUGAUCAGGCCCAUCAAGAAGCUUUUCUGGUACAGAAAGCAUCUUUUCAGGUGCAGACAAGUCAUUCAAUUUCUCAGAAUGGUCACUCUUCGGGAUCUCGUUCACUACGUUAUCAUCCAGUCUAACGCUUCCAUCCAUGAUUUCUCCCUCGCGACCUGGUUGUACAACAUGAGCAUUGUCCAACAUUGUGCGGUCAACUAAAUGAGACUCCACACCUACAAAGUUAAAUAUCAUGCAAUUAGAUCAUGGAGAUCUGCAGAAGCACCACGAAUAAAGUACAACUAGUUUGCAAGAAGUCAAGAGCUCCCAAGUAAACACCUUGCAUAUCAGUAGAAUCUCCAUGCGAACAUGGGACAUCUUCUGUUUUUGAUGGGUCUGCAGAGGAUGGCACUGAUUGUAUGUCAGGUUGAAGUAUGGAGGCAAUGCAAGCUUGCAAUCCAACCAUAUUGGUAGAAGAAGAAAUUUUUCCGUUGUUGAUAUCAAUGUUUAAACUCACGUCUCCCUGAGUUUCGGUAUUAGAAUGCCCAGGAGCAUGAGGUAACUCAAGCAAUUGUCCUUCAACAUCUCUCGGAACAUCAGUAUUACCACUUCCAAGCAAUCUGGCCCCAAUAGCUUCUUCACAUUUCUCGUCUGUUGACUCCAACGGGUGACUAGGUUGUUCAUGCCCUACUUCGUCGUCACUUUUUUUGCCCACCUUAUUUGCAUCCUGCAACUCACCAGUAGUUCUAUCUUUCUGUAUGUACUCCAUAGACACUGGAGAAGAGCAUACAGCAGCUUUGAGCUUUGCUUUAUUUAUUGUUAAGUCAGAAGCCAGAAAUAUAUCCUGCUCUUCUUCGAGGCAUUGAAUACGAUCACCUACUGAUGAAUCAAUUGCUUCAUCCCUGUGUCGACGAUCAACCUUGCUAUAAACAUUUUCUGUGUUCUCCACACCAUGUAUAUCUGCUGAAUUGCGAUCUUCAGAUUCUAAAUGAUCAUCACAGACCAGCCCAUGCUGAACACUGGAUAGGUUUGGCUCUUCUACUAAUACAGGAGUAGAUGGAGCCUGUGCAUAUUCAAUAAGCUCUGCAUUUGAAGUUCGAUCCCCAAUCUGCAACGAAACAAAAGUGAUCCUAGUCAAAUAGGAGACAAGAAUACAAGAAUAAGGCAAAGUGGAUGAAAAAUUAGAUAGUCUACCUCGUUUACACUAUUAUUGACAGGACAGGAUUCAGAUAAUCCUGCAGUUCUGUGGUCGGUUUCAUCUCUUUUUGGAUCUUCAACAUCAUUGAUGGACAUCCUAUGAUCAAAUAUGGGGACAAAGCACUCAUUUAAAUAAAGUUACUUGUGAUGGAAACCAUCCUAUGACUCCAUAUGAAAUUAAAUAAAGUUCCAAUAUAAAACCACCGCAAUCCACGAAAAGCUCUAUAGCACAUUUAUCCUUUAAAAAAGAAACAGGUGAAGUAUACAAAAAUGUACGUCUCACAGAAAAUGUACGUCUCCCAGAAUUGGAAGAUGAUCAUUGUAUCAAGAAAACACCAACACUGUAGAAAAUAAUCUGAACCUCAAGUAACACCCACCAUACACGGCCAGCCCAGGAAAAGAAUUAGUAGAUAAGCAAUGUCUAAUGGAGAGAUAGUUCCAAACAAAAUCAAAGUUAAGAAUAGCAGCACGGAAACAUUGACUAAACUUAAGAAUUUUUUUUCCCAUGAAUAAAACUUAAGAAAAUUAAGAUGGCAUAUGAAGACAUAGGGUCAUCNNNNNNNNNNNNNNNNNNNNNNNNNNNNNNNNNNNNNNNNNNNNNNNNNNNNNNNNNNNNNNNNNNNNNNNNNNNNNNNNNNNNNNNNNNNNNNNNNNNNNNNNNNNNNNNNNNNNNNNNNNNNNNNNNNNNNNNNNNNNNNNNNNNNNNNNNNNNNNNACUUUACAACCAGAAAACUAACUUUAAAGAUAAAUCACUAACAAGUCAAUCAUGUCUGACGUAUAGUGAAACAGACACAUGUAUUCAAAGAAAUGAGGAUCGAAGUCAUACUCUAAAAUCCCAUUGGUUCCUGAAGCUGCAGCCUUGUCAAGGAACAAAUCCUGUACAACAUCCAAGGGUAAAAAUAAGAAAUGAGCAACAGCUAAAAAUAAUAUAAAAAUGGGCAUAACCACAAUGAUAGGACCAAUACAUCGUAGAUAAUUCUUAUGCAUGCACCAAUCAACAUAAAAAUGGAGGCGAAAGCAAUUAGGAAAGUACAAAGGAAUUACUACAGAGUUGGUUCAAUAUAAAACAUGAAAAAAACUCUCGACAUAUGCAGAAGAAAUAAAGGACGCAUAGCUCCUACUCUUUCAUAUCAAAUUAAGAAAGAAUUUACAUUGGGAUCCCAAUGAUUAGAUAACCAGGAAAGAAUACAUUUCUUUCACUCAAUCAUUUAUUAGUGUCAUAUCUGUCGAAAAUUGAGAUCCACAACAAAAUGACCAAUCCAACAACAUUGAAUCAAGAAACAUGAAAACAUUGAUGAAGCUAAACACAGGUGCAUAAUACAAACCAACUCUUAAGAUAAACAACAAUUAUGUACCGCACAAUUACCUCUUUAAGGUCCAAACAAACUUGAGAAGCAUCACCAUCACCAAAGCGUUCUGAAACCAUAACUCACUGAAGUUUAAUAACUACUCGAGGAGCAUGCAUCAGAUAAACACAAUCUAUCAUGAGACUAUAAGAAUGACACCAUAAAUGGUUACAAAGGUUAAUACUAACCAUCCAAUCCAAAUUGAGAUGUGGUGUAAACCACACCCUCCAUCGAGUCUUGAAGGGUGAUUUGCUCCUUUGAACUAACGUGAUGGUCAACAUAAUUACUGAAACAUGUAGAUAAAUAAUACAAACUUCAGUUGGGAGAGUAAUGCAUUAAUAUAGCGAUUUCACAUUAAAACUGAACUAUAUUGUAACCAAGAGAUCUAUAAUAACUUCAAUGCAAAUGACUUCGAGCUGAUCGGGAAUGUAAUGCCAAACCAGUGAAAUAUAAACUACUAUCAUGAAUCAAACUGCAUAUUCAUAAGAAAAGAGUGUAUUCAACAACACUUCAGAUAUAAGACCUAACAACAGAUUGCACAAAAGCUUAUAUGGGUGUCUGGAACUAACCCUUGGAGAAUAUCAUCAUCUGGAAGUUCAAAAUCAUCAAGAUCAAAAGUUUCAGGCAAGGUGAUAGAGUUAUAGGGAGCAGUUGACUCUUCAGGUGGUAAAUCAACUGCAGUGGAUCGAAAAGCUUGCUUUAUCUUUAGCAAAGCCUCACUGCAAUCAUCGAAAAGGUAAUUCACCUUCCUAGAAUAUAUCCUCACCACACCAACCAGAAGAUGACUGGACAGUCUAAGUGCGAUUGGUACAUCAGGGGAAAGAAUUGAAUCUGUAAAAGGGAAAAACGUUAAAAGGAGACAUGAGCCUAUACUAAAAAAUUAGCAACAGUGCAACAGUAAAUGAAACUGAAUUUAUCCUGUUUCCUAAUAUGGAUGUCUCUGUUGAGCUAAAACAAUCGAAUGCAGGGAGCAGGCUGCAUGUGUUUGCACCUCACACUACUAUACAAUGCAAUUGCAUGUAAACUGGAAUCAGAUAAAAUGGAUUUUGUUGGGCUGAAUCAUUAUACGUCAAGGUUCAUUGCCCAUGUACCAGGUGGUGGUGAUGCCGAAACUAAUUUCUAUAAAGCACAAUCGAUGAAGAGGAUUCGUAAGUCAAUUGUAAAAAAACGCAGUUCUGAUAUUUUGUAAUACCGUUUAGCGUUAUUGAUGUUUCUCAUUUCCACUGUGUCAUCAGAUGAAUGGGAAGACGGAGAACCAAUUGGUGAGAAGGUGCGCCUCUCUCUACCAGCCUUGAGAAAUCAUGUUUAAUUCGUUGACUAAUAUACUUACUUUAGGGAUGAUGUUAUGUAAUGCAAUGCAGGCUGCAUCGGAAUGGCUAUACGUUUGCCCAUGGGGACUGAGGAAGGUCCUGAAUUACGUAGCCAAGACAUACAAAUCCCCCAAAAUAUAUAUAACAGAGAAUGGUAAGUACGUGGAACGACAGGACUACCCAUGAUGUUGUUAUUUGAACUUGCCUGGAGGUUUGCAUCAGUUUCAUGGUUAUGAGUUGGUGUUGAUGGUGCUGUGUGGCAGGGAUGGACGAUGAAGACAGCGAUGCGCCACUUGAGGAAAUGCUGGAUGAUAAGAUGAGAGUACGCUACUUCAAAGGGUACCUUAAAGCGGUAGCAGAGGCAAUCAGGUGAGUAAGAUAUAGGGAGUGGUUGCUUGGUUCCAGAAUAUUAGGGAUUUGUAGAUGAAUUAACAUGGAGGCUGUUGUUGGGUGAGACAGAGAUGGAGUGGAUGUGAAGGGUUACUUUGCAUGGUCGUUGCUGGACAACUUCGAGUGGGCGCAAGGUUACACCAAGCGAUUUGGGAUAGUGUACGUGGACUACAAGGACGGGGAGCUGACUCGCCACCCAAAGUCGUCUGCAUAUUGGUUCUUGAGGUUCCUUAAGGGUGGUGAGGAAGGGAAAGACACAAAACAAGAAUGACUGAAUAUGGGUGGGUGUUGUGUUUAUGUAUGUCUGGCCUACUGUGACCUUUAAGCAUCUCUAUUGUACGUUGUAAUUGUGUGUGCGGAUUGGGUUUCCCCCGACUUUGUGGUAUGGUUCAUGAGGAGAGAACAGAAUAGAGAGCUAGUUGCCCACGGUAGUAGCUCAUCACUCUAUUUCUUUUACUACACCGGUUGUUGGAGAUGACUUUUGGGAUUGGUUGUACCUUCUGAUUGAUGUUUCAUUGAUCAUGAGAAGUUUAGACCACGACGAGUUAGACCAUGUCUACGCAGCGUGCCAUCAUGGCUUAAUCAUUGGGCCCAUCACUACCAUUGAAGAUACCAAGAGUUCAUGACCAUACCAAGAGUUCAUGGUAUUACUGCAGGUGUGCCAUUCCCCAAGAACUGUAUGCUCAGAAGCUAGACAGCAUCAUUCAAUUAGAGUUUAGAAUCAGAACUACUGGAGCAACUAACAACCGAUUAGA